This 433-nucleotide ribosomal RNA is filed under the name uncultured bacterium. Its description in RNAcentral is "partial 16S ribosomal RNA". It matches the Rfam family "Bacterial small subunit ribosomal RNA", at positions 29 to 507 of the family's 1533-position model. The record is from RNAcentral.
AGCGAACGCUGGCGGCAGGCCUAACACAUGCAAGUCGAACGAACUCUUCGGAGUUAGUGGCGGACGGGGGAGUAACACGUGGGAACGUGCCUUUUGGUUCGGAAUAACUCAGGGAAACUUGUGCUAAUACCGAAUGUGCCCUUCGGGGGAAAGAUUUAUCGCCAUUAGAGCGGCCCGCGUCUGAUUAGCUGGUUGGUGAGGUAACGGCUCACCAAGGCGACGAUCAGUAGCUGGUCUGAGAGGAUGACCAGCCACACUGGGAAUGAGACACGGCCCAGAAUCGUACGGGAGGGAGGAGUGGGGAGUCUUGCGCGAUGGGCGAAAGCCUGACGCAGCCAUGCCGCGUGAAUGAUGAAGGUCGUAGGAUUGUAAAAUUCUUUCACCGGGGACGAUAGUGACGGUACCCGGAGAAGAAGCCCCGGCUAACUUCGUG